ACGGUAGCACAGAGAGCUUGCUCUCGGGUGACGAGUGGCGGACGGGUGAGUAAUGUCUGGGAAACUGCCUGAUGGAGGGGGAUAACUACUGGAAACGGUAGCUAAUACCGCAUAACGUCGCAAGACCAAAGAGGGGGACCUUCGGGCCUCUUGCCAUCAGAUGUGCCCAGAUGGGAUUAGCUAGUAGGUGGGGUAACGGCUCACCUAGGCGACGAUCCCUAGCUGGUCUGAGAGGAUGACCAGCCACACUGGAACUGAGACACGGUCCAGACUCCUACGGGAGGCAGCAGUGGGGAAUAUUGCACAAUGGGCGCAAGCCUGAUGCAGCCAUGCCGCGUGUAUGAAGAAGGCCUUCGGGUUGUAAAGUACUUUCAGCGGGGAGGAAGGUGUUGUGGUUAAUAACCGCAGCAAUUGACGUUACCCGCAGAAGAAGCACCGGCUAACUCCGUGCCAGCAGCCGCGGUAAUACGGAGGGUGCAAGCGUUAAUCGGAAUUACUGGGCGUAAAGCGCACGCAGGCGGUCUGUCAAGUCGGAUGUGAAAUCCCCGGGCUCAACCUGGGAACUGCAUUCGAAACUGGCAGGCUAGAGUCUUGUAGAGGGGGGUAGAAUUCCAGGUGUAGCGGUGAAAUGCGUAGAGAUCUGGAGGAAUACCGGUGGCGAAGGCGGCCCCCUGGACAAAGACUGACGCUCAGGUGCGAAAGCGUGGGGAGCAAACAGG
Molecule: ribosomal RNA, 719 nt
Filed under: uncultured Enterobacterales bacterium
Lineage: Bacteria; Pseudomonadati; Pseudomonadota; Gammaproteobacteria; Enterobacterales
Description: bacterial SSU rRNA
Rfam family: Bacterial small subunit ribosomal RNA
Source: RNAcentral